This 1099-nucleotide ribosomal RNA is filed under the name bacterium. RNAcentral's name for it is "bacterial SSU rRNA". It matches the Rfam family "Bacterial small subunit ribosomal RNA", at positions 408 to 1503 of the family's 1533-position model. The record is from RNAcentral.
UUGAAGUUUUUCGAUCGUAAAGCUCUGUGGUAGGGAAGAACAAGGGCAAGAGUAACUGCUUGCACCUGACCGUACCUAACCAGAAAGCCACGGUUAAGUACGUGACAGCAGCCGCGGUAAUAUGUAGGUGGCAAGCCUUGUCCGGAAUUAUUGGGCGUAAAGGGCUCGCAGGCGGUUUCUUAAGUCUGAUGUGAAAGCCCCCGGCUCAACCGGGGAGGGUCAUUGGAAACUGGGAAACUUGAGUGCAGAAGAGGAGAGUGGAAUUCCACGUGUAGCGGUGAAGUGCGUAGAGAUGUGGAGGAACACCAGUGGCGAAGGCGACUCGUGGUCUGUAACUGACGCUGAGGAGCGAAAGCGUGGGGAGCGAACAGGAUUAGAUACCCUGGUAGUCCACGCCGUAAACGAUGAGUGUUAAGUGUUAGGGGGUUUCCGCCCUUUAGUGCUGCAGCUAACGCAUUAAGCACUCCGCCUGGGGAGUACGGUCGCAAGACUGAAACUCAAAGGAAUUGACGGGGGCCCGCACAAGCGGUGGAGCAUGUGGUUUAAUUCGAAGCAACGCGAAGAACCUUACCAGGUCUUGACAUCCUCUGACAACCCUAGAGAUAGGGCUUUCCCUUCGGGGACAGAGUGACAGGUGGUGCAUGGUUGUCGUCAGCUCGCGUCGUGAGAUGCUGGGUUAAGUCCCGCAACGAGCGCAACCCUUGAUCUUAGUUGCCAGCAUUCAGUUGGGCACUCUAAGGUGACUGCCGGUGACAAACCGGAGGAAGGUGGGGAUGACGUCAAAUCAUCAUGCCCCUUAUGACCUGGGCUACACACGUGCUACAAUGGACAGAACAAAGGGCUGCGAGACCGCAAGGUUUAGCCAAUCCCACAAAUCUGUUCUCAGUUCGGAUCGCAGUCUGCAACUCGACUGCGUGAAGCUGGAAUCGCUAGUAAUCGCGGAUCAGCAUGCCGCGGUGAAUACGUUCCCGGGCCUUGUACACACCGCCCGUCACACCACGAGAGUUUGCAACACCCGAAGUCGGUGAGGUAACCUUUAUGGAGCCAGCCGCCGAAGGUGGGGCAGAUGAUUGGGGUGAAGUCGUAACAAGAGCCUCGC